UACGUAGGGCGCAAGCGUUAUCCGGAAUUAUUGGGCGUAAAGAGCUCGUAGGCGGUUUGUCGCGUCUGCCGUGAAAGUCCGGGGCUCAACUCCGGAUCUGCGGUGGGUACGGGCAGACUAGAGUGAUGUAGGGGAGACUGGAAUUCCUGGUGUAGCGGUGAAAAUGCGCAGAUAUCAGGAGGAACACCGAUGGCGAAGGCAGGUCUCUGGGCAUUAACUGACGCUGAGGAGCGAAAGCAUGGGGAGCGAACAGG
Molecule: ribosomal RNA, 254 nt
Filed under: uncultured bacterium
Lineage: Bacteria
Description: partial 16S ribosomal RNA
Rfam family: Bacterial small subunit ribosomal RNA
Source: RNAcentral